This is a long non-coding RNA of Ostrea edulis (European flat oyster), 2021 nucleotides long. RefSeq lists it as uncharacterized. NCBI's taxonomy places the organism in Eukaryota, Metazoa, Mollusca, Bivalvia, Ostreida, Ostreidae. The record is from RefSeq and is a predicted model, not a curated record. The transcript is spliced from 2 exons.
GGAGUACCCAGAGAGAUGGACAUCCCAGAGCAGGACGUGUUCCUAAAGAGAUAGCUGAGGACCACAAUACAAGUUUUGUCAGCAAUUAGACUGAUUAGGCAUAUAAACAAAAUGAUGGAGCUGAUGCCAGGUAGUGGGAUCUAUAACGUAUAUCCUAAAGAUAUUCGAGUUCUAAGCAGAAAAACAAGUGGAAUGGGAAUGGCACGUUAUCUCAUGUCGGCGUUUUACACAAAUGAGGAACUGGUCAGGAGGGGAAAUCUAACUGGUUCUAAUGGCAAGGAAGGCAUUGACAAGACGAUUCUAAAGACUAUUCUUGGUAAGAGAUAUAAAUUUAAUUAAUAAAUUGUUUAUAUGACAUUAAUGACAAAUUGUUUUAACUUUGAAUAUUCUAAGAAUAAUCAGUCACCCACAUUUCUUUCAAUUUGUGAAGAAGUACAAGGUGAAAACAAAAAACUUGUAAUUUUCAAACAUAUACAAUAUAUCUCCUCAAAAUGUAAAAUAUCCAUCUUUUAAAUUGGAGAAUCAGUCAGAUGAUUACUAGUAUUUUUUUUAAAAAGAAUAUGCUGUCAUUAAGGGACAAGAUUCAGAGGCGAAUGCCAAGUUCUCAAUGAGGACAAAGAUAAGUUCUUUAGUGAGCCUGCAGAACAGGAAACAGACGUGACUUAUUCAUUGAAUAAUGUGAUAUGGGACUCCCUUCAUAAGGGAUUAUGUAAUUUUUAUUGUGAUAGUAUGUACAAAGAGUUAAUGAUAGAUAUUUUAUUUAUUCAUUCAAAAAUAUUUUUGUGCCAAACUUUAUAAAUAAAAUUAUACCAACAGUAGUAGCUGUUGAUAAUCUGUUAUGUUUUAUUAUCCCUGUAUUUAUUUUACAUUUUGCUAGGUAUAACUGUUGCUAACUUUUUUGUAACUUUUUGUUAGAUGUAACUUUUGACGGGUAUACCAUUUUUGUAACAUUGUUCCAGCUGUUGAUAUGAGUAUAACUUUUUUGUAACUUUUUGUUAGGUGUAACUUUUGACAGGUAUAACAUUUUUGAUAUGAGUAUAACUUAAGUAUAACUUUUGCACUUGCUGUAUUUAUGUUGAAAUAAAAGAUGAUAACUUAUACACGAGUAUAACUUUUUUGUAACUUAGUUAUAAGUAAAGUAUAACUUUUUUUGAAGAAGUGGUUCCAAACUCCCAAUAACUUUUUUUGUAACUUUUCUUAGUUACAAAAGUUAUAAUUUAGUUAUAACUUUUCUUCGGUAUGGGUCAGUACAAUAUAAACAAUUUUAUUAUAUGAUUGAACAAUUCCUAGCUCUCUAAUUGGCCGAGAUCCAACAAUGUAGAAAUCAUACUACGUUAUGUUUACCUGCACGUGACCUUCCAGGUGAAUAUAAGGAAGUAUUUUUUCCACAUAGGACCAAAAAUAGGUCGUUGAAACUUGCAAUUAAAGCAAAGAACAAUAUUGAAGGUUUUUUUUAAAAAUUAUUUAAUCAUAUAAUAAAACAAUUAUUGCUGUUUUUAAGGUCAAUACAAUGAUUUAGCCACCUUCGAAGGUGUACUUCGGGCUCGGUGAAUAUUGUACUCCUCAGGUGUCUAAAUCAUCGUAUUGACCUAAAAAACAGCAAUAAUUGUAUAUUGUUGUACAGUGUUCUUUAGAGAAACACGAUAUAUCUAACAAACUGAGUAUGCAAUACUGGUCAUACCAGAGUCAAGUACAAAAUCAACACAAUUCAUUUGUUGAGACAUGUAUUUUUCAGAGCAAUGGCUACUGACAGGGCAAUACUGUGAUUUAUUAGUGAGGUAUUUAUCUGAAGAUACAACAUAUAUUACUACUACCGACAGGGCAAUAAUGUGAUUUAUAGUGAGGUAUUAAUCUGAAGAUACAACAUAUAUUACUGCUCAUGAAAAUUGUCAUUCACAAAAAGUGAUCAAAAGUGAUCAAUCUUGGAAUACCUAUAAAGGACAAAUUGAGAGUACGACAAACACAGAUCCCCAGAAACACAAGAGGCAGGACCAGGCACCCAGGAGGAGUAAGCAUCCCCA